GGCAGUGGGUGGAGCUUUGCUCGGCAAGAUUCGGAACUCACGCUCGUGGCAGCUAGGGCUUAGGGCGGCGCAACCGGGAAGUAACCGAGGGCGGUAGGGGAACCCCUUGCACUUUAUAGGACACCGGUACCCUCGAAUCGUACCAAAUCCCGUGAGAUUAGGAGUUGGGAUGCGAUUUCCUACCCGGAUGAAUCCGGCCUCCUCACGGCGCAAGGUAGGGGACGGCUGACAGCUGGGUCCCAGUUGUCGGUGAGAGAAGAGAGGGAGAAAGGUGCUGCCGUGUGGGCCAUAUGCGCCAGAGAGAGAGAUAGGGAGAGGGCGAAGCGCGCGCGGGCCUGGCCGCUGGGCCGCUCACGGGCCGAACGCAGGGGAAAGCUUGCGCGUACGGGGGUGGACUUGGGCCGCGGCUUUGCUAGGCUGAGCUGGGAUCAGGCUGGCUCCUUUCUCUUUUCUUCUUCUUUUUUUUUCUUCAUUGUUUUCUUUUCUAUUUUAUUUUCCAAAGCCUUUUCUAAAUAAUAUUUUAAAUGCAAAUAAAUUCAAGCCAGAGGCAAACAAUACAAAAUAAAAUAUUCUUCAGCAUGAAUGCAUAAACAAGUUUCUAAUCUUAUGAUAAAUUUUAAUUUUGACAAAAAAAUAUUUAAGUGCUAAAUUUAAAUGCGCACAAAAAUACUUAAUUAAAUCAAAUUAAAUUCUAUUAAUUGAAAAUUGAAUUUUGGGUGUUACAAACUCUACCCCUGUUAAAAUGAAUCUCGUCCUCGAGAUUCGGAAGAGGCACGGAUUCCAAGGAGAUACAGGAGAAAGAUAUUGGUAACUAGUUCCACUUCACAUCUUGCACUCCAAGAUAAACACUUAUGUCUCAGGAUCACAACUUGUGAAUUAAAGUUUUCAUGGAAUGUCUAUUAUUCAUAAAUGAUCAAGGUCCCUCUUGACUGCCAACUUUUUGACUUACCACUCAAAGACAUGAUAGCUUAGCAUAGAUCUGCCUCCUUAGGUAGGAGUGGACCACCUUGAUACUCAAUUCUCUUCCCUGAUGCUACGGUUACGUAAAUUUUCCACUGGGUAGCAUAGAACACUCCUUUGUGUGCACAUAACCAUAAGAUAUCUCAGAAGAUAGUUAUCACUUCAUGAUAGUUUUAAAAUGCCUCAUCCCGUAAUAUCAAGGUGCUACCCCCCUUAAAAUGAGAUUGAUUGGGGGACACUAAGGACUAGUUCUCGUAUCCUUUUUGGACGCUACACAUCAUAGUCUUUUACAUUUGUUGUACCGAGUCUCUUGAUCCAAGGUUAGUUUCAUCACUAAGUUCCAAUUAUCGGUACCUUUAUCCCAG
RNAcentral lists this long non-coding RNA (1325 nucleotides) under Sorghum bicolor (sorghum). RNAcentral's name for it is "long non-coding RNA (SBIC_LNC016367)". The record is from RNAcentral. Lineage: Eukaryota; Viridiplantae; Streptophyta; Magnoliopsida; Poales; Poaceae.